GCCUGAUGCAGCGACGCCGCGUGAGGGAUGACGGCCUUCGGGUUGUAAACCUCUUUCAGCAGGGACGAAGCGCAUGUGACGGUACCUGUAAAAUAAGCACCGGCCAACUACAUGCCAGCAGCCGCGGUAAUACGUAGGGUGCGAGCGUUGUCCGGAAUUACUGGGCGUAAAGAGCUCGUACGUGGUUUGUCGCGUUGUUCGUGAAAACUCACAGCUCAACUGUGGGCGUGCGGGCGAUACGGGCAGACUUGAGUACUGCAUGGGAGACUGGAAUUCCUGGUGUAGCGAUGGAAUGCGCAGAUUUCAAGAGGAACACCGGUGGCGAAGGCGGGUCUCUGGGCAGUAACUGACGCUGAGGAACGAAAGCGUGGGGAGCGAACAGGAUUAGAUACCCUGGUAGUCCACGCCGUAAACGGUGGGUACUAGGUGUGGGUUUCCUUCCUUGGGAUCCGUGCCGUAUCUAACGCAUUAAGUACCCCGCCUGGGGAGUACGGCCGCAAGGCUAAAACUCACAGAAAUUGACGGGGGCCCGCACAAGCGGCGGAGCAUGUGGAUUAAUUCAAUGCAACGCGAAGAACCUUACCUGGGUUUGACAUGCACAGGACGCCGGCUGAGAUGUCGGUUCC
RNAcentral lists this ribosomal RNA (626 nucleotides) under Actinomycetales bacterium Se3Ps_2532. RNAcentral describes it as "bacterial SSU rRNA". It matches the Rfam family "Bacterial small subunit ribosomal RNA", at positions 381 to 1016 of the family's 1533-position model. Lineage: Bacteria; Bacillati; Actinomycetota; Actinomycetes; Actinomycetales. The record is from RNAcentral.